This 72-nucleotide transfer RNA is filed under the name Camelus bactrianus (Bactrian camel). It matches the Rfam family "tRNA". From Rfam's summary of the family: Transfer RNA (tRNA) molecules are approximately 80 nucleotides in length. Lineage: Eukaryota; Metazoa; Chordata; Mammalia; Artiodactyla; Camelidae. The record is from Rfam by way of RNAcentral. RNAcentral also lists the same sequence under 3 other names.
GAGGGUAUAGGUCAGUGGUAGAGCACAUGCUUAGCAUGCACAAGGUCCUGGGUUCAAUCUCCAGUACCUCUG